UACGUAGGGGGCUAGCGUUGCUCGGAAUCACUGGGCGUAAAGCGCACGUAGGCGGCCUUCUAAGUCAGGGGUGAAAUCCUGGAGCUCAACUCCAGAACUGCCUUUGAUACUGGAGAGCUUGAGUCCGGAAGAGGUGAGUGGAACUCCGAGUGUAGAGGUGAAAUUCGUAGAUAUUCGGAAGAACACCAGUGGCGAAGGCGGCUCACUGGUCCGGUACUGACGCUGAGGUGCGAAAGCGUGGGGAGCAAACAGG
Molecule: ribosomal RNA, 253 nt
Filed under: uncultured bacterium
Lineage: Bacteria
Description: partial 16S ribosomal RNA
Rfam family: Bacterial small subunit ribosomal RNA
Source: RNAcentral